This 1892-nucleotide unclassified non-coding RNA is filed under the name Octopus sinensis (East Asian common octopus). Its description in RNAcentral is "uncharacterized LOC115217897, transcript variant X1". Lineage: Eukaryota; Metazoa; Mollusca; Cephalopoda; Octopoda; Octopodidae. The record is from RNAcentral.
GUAUGUAUAUAUACAUACAUACAUGCAUUUGUAAAUAUAUGGAUUUGUGUAUGUGUAAACAAAGUGAGGGAGUGACAUGAAAAGACAGGAAAAAAGGAACAAGAGACGAAUUCUUGCAGACAAAAUUUUGUAAAUACAGCUAAAUGGAUGAAAGUAAAGCAAUUAAUAAUACCUGUCUUUAAGAACAUUUGAUGUAGAAAUUCUAAUCAACUUUGUUUAGCCUCAGCCAAGAUCUCAAAAAAAAUAAAUAAAAGGAAAACCAUUAUUUGUCAAGAAUACCUAAUUCAUUUCUAUUUACUACCAUGUUGGUUCUUUCCUUUUGGAGUAUUUUAUUCUUCACCUUUCCUCAUUUUACAGAUGCCCAGAACACAACGUGGAACGUAGAAAUUUGUUUCUUUGAGGCAUAUUACUACUCAGCCGCAGUUACUUUGAACAAUGAAUCGAAAACCACAAGAAGUUUAGAGUUGCAAAAAUGCUUCAACAAUAAUUUUGAAUUAAACAGUAGAGAAAAGCCAAGUUCUAUUGAAGUUAACGAGCAUACUGGUUAUAAGGCAGUUGUUCAAAAUAAAGAUCUUCAAGAAAUGUAUGCUUUAGAGUGCCUGUCACAAUGUCAUGGGAACCAAAAGUUAGAAAAAUGGACACACUGGAACCUUGAAGUUAUACAUAGUGAGAUAAACGACAGUUAUGACUAUUCGUUUGAGAUAAGGCCUUAUGGUGAAGAGAAUAUAGUGUUUAAAACAAAUUCUAGGACAUCAAACACAUUGUUUCUGCCUACGGAAAUGAAUAGAAAGUCCAGAAUAGAGUUAUUUACUACAGGAAAAUUUUGGCCAGAAAAGAUUGUAUUUGCUCAAAAUGAAGAUCUUCAAGAAAUGUAUGCUAUUGAGGGCCUGUCAGGUUGUCCUGGAAACCAGAAAUUAGAAGAAUGGACACACUGGAACCUUAAAUUUAUACAUAGAGAGAUAAACGACAGUUAUGACUAUUCCAUUGAGAUAAGGCCUUAUGGUGAAAAGAAUAUAAUGUUUAAAACAAAUUCUACGACAUCAAACGCAUCAUUGUUUCUGCCCACGAAAAGGAAUAGAAAGUCAAGAACAGAGUUAUUAACCACAGGAAAAUCUUGUCCGGAAAAGAUUAUCAAACUGAAGAACAUGGAAACUACCAAGAUAUAUUCCUGUAGUGAUAUUCUUAACCAAAGUAAUCCUUACAAUGAGUGUUCAUUGAGAAAUGAUCUUAUGUGGAUAAUAGAACUAACCUCUCAUUCCAAACUAAUUAGCCUCGUCACACAGGUAACGAUAUUUGUUGGAGUGACCAGCAAUGGAACAAACUCUUCACAAGAACUAACAUUCAGAAAGUCAGCUUAUUCCCCCACAUUCUCUGCUUCUACCAAUAUUGGAACCGUAAGCAUUGAUGAGGUUGAAAUAUACUUUGAAGAUUAUAACGAAUCUUUUGACAUAUCCAAAAUUGUUAUGACAGGAAUACGUACUGGAGAAGAAUAUGGUUGUGUUAACAUCACUAAGACAAUCCCAGCUAAAUAUUCGUGUAAACUAUGGAAAAGCAAAAAUUGGCUGUUGAAAGUUAUUUCUCCUGAAGAACAAGAAAGAAAGUUUGUUGUAGAAUUUAUUCAAGACAAGUUAUCUUCUUUCUCCAGAAACUUGACAUGGAAUCGUUCCACUUUUUACGGAGAUAGUCAUAUCAUGUAUUUUAAUCUAAAGACGUAUGAAGACGAUGAAGUUACAAGCUUAAAACUCCAUUUCUUCGAUAAAUCCUUCAGAAUCAAUAAGCUUAACCAAGAAUCACCCAGAGUUUAAAUUCAAAACAAAUGAAGAAAGAAAAUUGCAGAAUAGUUCGGUGACAGAAUUUACUCGAAUACCAAAAGAGGAGAAAGGAGAGAAAAU